Molecule: small RNA, 875 nt
Filed under: Pan troglodytes (chimpanzee)
Lineage: Eukaryota; Metazoa; Chordata; Mammalia; Primates; Hominidae
Description: processed transcript
Source: RNAcentral
GCGGCCGCUGGCAGCGCUGGCCCUGGUCCUGGCGCUGGCCCCGGGGCUGCCCACAGCCCGGGCCGGGCAGACACCGCGCCCUGCCGAGCGGGGGCCCCCAGUGCGGCUUUUCACCGAGGAGGAGCUGGCCCGCUAUGGCGGGGAGGAGCUUCUCCCCUGCUUUCUAGGAAGAUCAGCCCAUCUACUUGGCAGUGAAGGGAGUGGUGUUUGAUGUCACCUCCGGAAAGGAGUUUUAUGGACGAGGAGCCCCCUACAAUGCCUUGACGGGGAAGGACUCCACUAGAGGGGUAGCCAAGAUGUCCUUGGAUCCUGCAGACCUCACCCAUGACACUACGGGUCUCACGGCCAAGGAACUGGAGGCCCUGGAUGAGGUCUUCACCAAAGUGUACAAAGCCAAAUACCCCAUCGUCGGCUACACUGCCCGGAGAAUUCUCAAUGAGGAUGGCAGCCCUAACCUGGACUUCAAGCCUGAAGACCAGCCCCAUUUUGACAUCAAGGACGAGUUCUGAUGUUCCCCCUGCAGGAGCAGGUUCUUGGGAGCGUGAGGCAGGAAGACACUAGGUGCUGAAUCUCCUGCAAAACUGGCUGCCUGGAGGCCCUGAGCCACCCAGAUCCGAAUAAAACAGAUGCUUACCCUGGAAGAGCAAAUGCCUCCUGUUGUCCUUGGUCAGGGGUUCUGUCUACCUGGGGACCCCUGUCUGCACACCAGGGAUCAAUAAGAGCCAAAGUGGGACACCUCCUAGAUGUCAGUAUCAGCUGGCUGGGCAGUGGAAUUUUGAGCGACCUUUACUUUAUACUUUUCUGUGCUUGACAGAUUUUCAGCCAUGACCAUGUUCACUUUACAAUCAAAACAAAAAUAAAGGUCCCAUUUUUAC